GAUAAAAUGCCUGAAAAAGGAUUAUCUUGAUAGGAUAAAUCAUGUAUAAACAUACUUUUAUUA
This 63-nucleotide transfer RNA is filed under the name Nothoaspis amazoniensis. RNAcentral's name for it is "tRNA-Ile". Lineage: Eukaryota; Metazoa; Arthropoda; Arachnida; Ixodida; Argasidae. The record is from RNAcentral.